GGUGAACCAGCGGAGGGAUCAUUACUGAGUUUACGCUCUACAACCCUUUGUGAACAUACCUAUAACUGUUGCUUCGGCGGGUAGGGUCUCCGCGACCCUCCCGGCCUCCCGCCUCCGGGCGGGUCGGCGCCCGCCGGAGGAUAACCAAACUCUGAUUUAACGACGUUUCUUCUGAGUGGUACAAGCAAAUAAUCAAAACUUUUAACAACGGAUCUCUUGGUUCUGGCAUCGAUGAAGAACGCAGCGAAAUGCGAUAAGUAAUGUGAAUUGCAGAAUUCAGUGAAUCAUCGAAUCUUUGAACGCACAUUGCGCCCGCCAGCAUUCUGGCGGGCAUGCCUGUUCGAGCGUCAUUUCAACCCUCAAGCUCUGCUUGGUGUUGGGGCCCUACAGCUGAUGUAGGCCCUCAAAGGUAGUGGCGGACCCUCUCGGAGCCUCCUUUGCGUAGUAACUUUACGUCUCGCACUGGGAUCCGGAGGGACUCUUGCCGUAAAACCCCCAAUUUUCCAAAGGUUGACCUCGGAUCAGGUAGGAAUACCCGCUGAACUUAAGCAUAUCAAUAA
The sequence is a ribosomal RNA, 560 nucleotides long. The stretch from base 197 to 350 matches the Rfam family "5.8S ribosomal RNA".